GACGAUCGCUGGCGGCGUGCUUAACACAUGCAAGUCGGACGGUAAGGCCCUUCGGGGUACACGAGUGGCGAACGGGUGAGUAACACGUGGGUGAGCUGCCCUGCACUUCGGGAUAAGCCUGGGAAACUGGGUCUAAUACCGGAUAGGACUCCUGCCUGCAUGGGUGGGGGUGGAAAGCUUUUGCGGUGUGGGAUGGGCCCGCGGCCUAUCAGCUUGUUGGUGGGGGGAUGGCCUACCAAGGCGACGACGGGUAGCCGGCCUGAGAGGGUGACCGGCCACACUGGGACUGAGAUACGGCCCAGACUCCUACGGGAGGCAGCAGUGGGGAAUAUUGCACAAUGGGCGCAAGCCUGAUGCAGCGACGCCGCGUGAGGGAUGACGGCCUUCGGGUUGUAAACCUCUUUCAGCACAGACGAAGCGCAAGUGACGGUAUGUGCAGAAGAAGGACCGGCCAACUACGUGCCAGCCGCCGCUGUAA
RNAcentral lists this ribosomal RNA (478 nucleotides) under uncultured bacterium. RNAcentral's name for it is "partial 16S ribosomal RNA". It matches the Rfam family "Bacterial small subunit ribosomal RNA", at positions 28 to 523 of the family's 1533-position model. The record is from RNAcentral.